AUAUCAGUUAUACCAUUUUGGGACUUAUAUAUGUACAGUGGAUUACCUGAGUCUAGCUACUAUACUCUUAUGAGUAUAGACCACUUUGUACUCAUAAAUUUCCGGCCGUUAGAUUUGUCCCUUUAACUAUUUUCACCUAUUGAAUCAUAUUAUUCAACCAACUACUCGCUCAACCCUAGAUGACCACUACCAUCCUAAUUGGGGACCACUGUCAUCCUAACCACACAUCCCUUCAUCAAACGGCCGAAAACUUAUGAGUACAGGGAGCUCUGUACUCAUAAGAGUAUAGUAGUCCUAGCAUGGAUUACCUUUGGUUUUAGCUGUUUGCUUUAGCUCUGGUACUUGGUUGUGGUGGUGCUUGUUCUAGUCAUAGGUUCUUCUUUCGCUUCGUGUGUACACGACUUCCUGCGUAUGCGACAGGUCUACUAGCAAGCCCAAGUUCAGUUGCAACUCAGGAUGUGACAACUAAUCUUAUUUCUCUAGGAGAGGAUGGAUAUCUUGGUAUUAAUAAAUUAAGAUAAUUAUAAAAUUCUUAAUCUGACCAUCUUUUUUUCCUCUCCAGCUCCAUUACCUAGUUUUCUUUACUCUCUAAUCUCAUUUCUCUCUUUCUCUCUCUCUCUCUCACUUCAUUCUUUCUCUAAACCUAAGCUCUCUUUUUUAUCCCUCUAACCCUAUUUCUCAGGCUCAUCUACUAAUUUCGAUUCGAUCUCUUUCCUUAUUUUUCUAAUUGUACUCCCUUUUUGUAA
RNAcentral lists this long non-coding RNA (746 nucleotides) under Ananas comosus (pineapple). Its description in RNAcentral is "long non-coding RNA (ACOM_LNC026041)". Lineage: Eukaryota; Viridiplantae; Streptophyta; Magnoliopsida; Poales; Bromeliaceae. The record is from RNAcentral.